CAGCCGCCGCGGGAAAACGGAGGGGGCUAGCGUUGUUCGGAAUUACUGGGCGUAAAGCGCACGUAGGCGGCUUGGUUAGUUAGAGGUGAAAGCCCAGGGCUCAACCCUGGAAUUGCCUUUAAGACUGCCGAGCUAGUAGGUGAGAGAGGUGAGUGGAAUUCCGAGUGUAGAGGUGAAAUGCGUAGAUAUUAGGAAGAACACCAGUGGCGAAGGCGACUUUCUGGACGAAAACUGACGCUGAGGCGCGAAAGCCAGGGGAGCGAACGGGAUUAGAUACCCCUGUAGUCCCUGUCUCUUAUAC
This 301-nucleotide ribosomal RNA is filed under the name uncultured bacterium. RNAcentral's name for it is "partial 16S ribosomal RNA". It matches the Rfam family "Bacterial small subunit ribosomal RNA", at positions 509 to 807 of the family's 1533-position model. The record is from RNAcentral.